Molecule: ribosomal RNA, 253 nt
Filed under: uncultured bacterium
Lineage: Bacteria
Description: partial 16S ribosomal RNA
Rfam family: Bacterial small subunit ribosomal RNA
Source: RNAcentral
GACGAGCCUCACGAACGUUAUUCGGAAUUACUGGGCUUAAAGGGUGCGUAGGCGGUGCGGAAAGUUGGGUGUGAAAUCCCUCGGCUCAACCGAGGAACUGCGCCCAAAACUACCGUACUCGAGGAAGAUAGAGGUGAGCGGAACUUACGGUGGAGCGGUGAAAUGCGUUGAUAUCGUAAGGAACACCCGUGGCGAAAGCGGCUCACGGGGUCUUUUCUGACGCUGAUGCACGAAAGCUAGGGGAGCAAACGGG